GACGAACCGAGCGAACGUUAUUCGGAAUCACUGGGCUUAAAGGGCGCGUAGGCGGGCCGUCAAGUCAGGGGUGAAAGCCCCCAGCUCAACUGGGGAAGUGCCUCUGAUACUGGCGGUCUCGAGGGAGGUAGGGGCGUGCGGAACUUCCGGUGGAGCGGUGAAAUGCGUAGAUAUCGGAAGGAACACCGGUGGCGAAAGCGGCGCGCUGGACCUCUUCUGACGCUGAGGCGCGAAAGCCAGGGGAGCGAACGGGAUUAGAUACCCCGGUAGUCCUGGCCCUAAACGUUGGGCACUAGGUUGUGGGCUUACGUGGGCUCACAGCCGGAGCAAAAGUAUUAAGUGCCCCGCCUGGGGAGUAUGGUCGCAAGGCUGAA
RNAcentral lists this ribosomal RNA (374 nucleotides) under uncultured bacterium. Its description in RNAcentral is "bacterial SSU rRNA". It matches the Rfam family "Bacterial small subunit ribosomal RNA", at positions 524 to 898 of the family's 1533-position model. The record is from RNAcentral.